GACGAACGCUGGCGGCGUGCUUAACACAUGCAAGUCGAACGGAAAGGCCCUGCUUUUGUGGGGUGCUCGAGUGGCGAACGGGUGAGUAACACGUGAGUAACCUGCCCUUGACUUUGGGAUAACUUCAGGAAACUGGGGCUAAUACCGGAUAGGAGCUCCUGCUGCAUGGUGGGGGUUGGAAAGUUUCGGCGGUUGGGGAUGGACUCGCGGCUUAUCAGCUUGUUGGUGGGGUAGCGGCUUACCAAGGCUUUGACGGGUAGCCGGCCUGAGAGGGUGACCGGCCACAUUGGGACUGAGAUACGGCCCAGACUCCUACGGGAGGCAGCAGUGGGGAAUAUUGCACAAUGGGCGAAAGCCUGAUGCAGCAACGCCGCGUGCGGGAUGACGGCCUUCGGGUUGUAAACCGCUUUCGGCUGGGACGAAGCGUGAGUGACGGUAAUGGGUAAAGAAGCACCGGCUAACUACGUG
This 468-nucleotide ribosomal RNA is filed under the name uncultured bacterium. RNAcentral describes it as "partial 16S ribosomal RNA". It matches the Rfam family "Bacterial small subunit ribosomal RNA", at positions 28 to 507 of the family's 1533-position model. The record is from RNAcentral.